UGUUAGUGUAGCAGGAUGACUGCUUUUCCAGUGGCUCCGCCCACUCGCAGUAUUGUGCCCCUUUAAUUUAUUAUAUAAGGAGGGACCUGUAGAUCUGCUCGCUCUCUGACAGCUGAUACGCACCUCCCCCCUUCCGGGUUUACCUGGCUGCAGGUUCGGCAGACGCUCGGCACUCUCUGCAGGGUUGUGCAAAUUGUUCCACCGUGCAGGCGCUGGCAGGUCGGACUGCGUGUUUGCUCGUUUUGUCCCGGAGCUAUGCCACGCUGAGGUCCCGACUGCCCUGACCCGUUUUGGACUGCUGCUGCUUUGUGUGGGGAUAAAACCCACACUUUUUACGGACCUUGCCUGCUGCUUUGUGUGGGGAUAAAACCCACACUUUUUACGGACCUUGCCUGCUGCUGCGUUCGGGUGCUGAGGGCCUCACUGGUGAUCCUGUUUGGUGAUGGUGUCCCUUCGUGUGUAGUGUCUUAUUCACUCCCCUCCUUUGUUUUGCUUUGCCCUUGUGUGUUUGGAGUGUUAAUUUUGGAUUGUGGUGCUCCCAUUUUAAGUUUAUACUUUCACCCCUCACUCACCUUGAGCACAAAUGCCCCAGCCCUGGAAUACAUGAUAAUUUAUACAAAUAGGAUAACUUUUUUUAGAUUUGAAUUGUGCCCAAUAAACUGUUGUAUAUGCUUUUGGAAACACGUCUCUCGCCUGCUCAGUGUAACGAACUUGUGUUGUCCUUUUGUUUAGAUUUAGUAAUUUACCUUAUUCAUAGAUUUCUUUCUUUUCCCUGGGUGAUUUCUCCCAGGGUGGCGUUGCUGGUUUCCUUUAGUUUCUUUCUUUUUCCCCUAGUUAAAAACAUAGAUUAUUGGGGUAGUUCCUACCCCACCUCACGCUUGCCACAUUAGCAACAAUU
Molecule: long non-coding RNA, 898 nt
Organism: Gasterosteus aculeatus aculeatus (three-spined stickleback)
Lineage: Eukaryota; Metazoa; Chordata; Actinopteri; Perciformes; Gasterosteidae
Source: Ensembl